GACGAACGCUGGCGGCGUGCUUAACACAUGCAAGUCGAACGGUGAAGCGCCUUCCUUUUUGGUGGGUGUGGAUGAGUGGCGAACGGGUGAGUAACACGUGAGUAACCUGCCCCCUUCUUCUGGAUAACCGCAUGAAAGUGUGGCUAAUACGGGAUAUUCUGGGUCUGUCGCAUGAUGGGUCUGGGAAAGAUAUUGUUUCGGUGGGGGAUGGGCUCGCGGCUUAUCAGCUUGUUGGUGGGGUGAUGGCCUACCAAGGCGGUGACGGGUAGCCGGCCUGAGAGGGUGGACGGUCACACUGGGACUGAGACACGGCCCAGACUCCUACGGGAGGCAGCAGUGGGGAAUAUUGCACAAUGGGCGCAAGCCUGAUGCAGCGACGCCGCGUGAGGGAUGGAGGCCUUCGGGUUGUGAACCUCUUUCGCCAGUGAAGCAGGCCUGCCUCGUUUGUGGGUGGGUUGACGGUAGCUGGAUAAGAAGCGCCGGCUAACUACGUG
Molecule: ribosomal RNA, 494 nt
Filed under: uncultured bacterium
Lineage: Bacteria
Description: partial 16S ribosomal RNA
Rfam family: Bacterial small subunit ribosomal RNA
Source: RNAcentral